UAUAACAAACAAUCGAAUCGUAAACACAGUAUCCAUUUGUUAUUAAUUAAUCAUAUUGCAGGAUAACGUGACUUUGUGGGGUUCCCCCUUUUAACUUGAAUGGUAGUAAACACGACGGCAAGUGGUGUAUUAUUUCGAUUUAUUUUUUAAAACAAUUUUUCUUAAUACUUUCAAUCUUUUAUGAUCAAAACAUGACAAUCCAGUUUUUGUUAUUUUUUCACAAUAUAUAAUAUGAUCAUGACUACGAAUAACAUUCAUAGUAGAUUUCUUACAUGUUUCAUCAGGUAAUAAUUGCAAUUACUCUUUGUAUUUUAUUUAUUGUUUAUACGCUGUGUAUUGUAUAUUAUUUUCAUACACCCUCAAAUAUGUAAUGUAUAUUAAUGUAUGUGUGUGUUUAAUAUUAAAUACAACAUCAGCGUGCAAACAGCAUAACACCUGAACAGCAGCAACCUCAGCAAUCGCAGCAACCUCUGCUACAACAACAACAGAUAGCACUGCAUACACAGCAGAAAUCGCAGCAACCUCUGCUACAACAACAACAGCAAAGAAGCAAAAGUCCCGAAUGGGUCACGCAAUAUCGGUGGAGCUUUCCUGAGAAACGUUCACCGAAAGCACACAGCUGAGAAGGCAUUUUGUCACACAAGCCGGAGUCAGUAAAACAAACCUUUCGACGCCACAGGAAGCGAUCGCCGACCAGACGACUCGUCACCGGCGUCCAGCCAGUCAUCCCACUUUUACACCUCGACAUUAGCGUUUACCUUUAAAUCUUAGUUUCUUUAUUAUCAUCAUCAGUAACAUUGUGAUGUUGUCCUUACCGUUGAAAAUUCUGUCAUUGUUCACGAUGCCGUUACUUACGUUGUUAAUAUCGUACCAUAUUUGUCAUACUGAUCUGGCAUCUAUCAUUUCCAUAUUGUAUAUUUUUCACAUUUUGUCGUCGGAAACCUAAUAUUGUUUUAUCAUAACGUUAAUUUUUGUACCUUGUAAUUCAGGAUUUGAUCUCUCUAAAGAUUUUAAAUCAUAAAAUAUAAAAUCUUUCUUUGAUGAAAAUGUGGUAUGUGACGUAAGUAGAAUAGAAUGAAGAAUUUCAGCGCCAUGUUUUGAGGAGCAAUGAGGAGCGAGUGAGGAGCGAGUCAGUCGGUCAAGUUGAGGUCAAUUUUUAAUAGGAUUAAAUAGCAAGGGUUGGCUAAAUUCGUUUAAAGAAAAAUCGUAUUUUCACAUUAGAAAAAAGGAAAAAAUUAUUUCAUUAUCAGUUGAGGAAAUAAUUAGGUUGAAGGAAAUCUUCGAAACACUUCCAGAAAACAUCAAUGUGUUCGAUCGACAGGUUACAAUUGCAAUUACUCAUUUGUAUUUAUUGAUUAUACACUAUAUGUGUAUUGUAUAUUAUUAUAUGAUAAUACACUAUGUGUGUAUGUGUGUAUUGUAUAUUAUUUAUUGAUUAUACUCUAUGUGUG
Dreissena polymorpha is the source of this 1451-nucleotide long non-coding RNA. RefSeq lists it as uncharacterized. The transcript is spliced from 3 exons. The record is from RefSeq and is a predicted model, not a curated record. NCBI's taxonomy places the organism in Eukaryota, Metazoa, Mollusca, Bivalvia, Myida, Dreissenidae.